GACGAACGCUGGCGGCGUGCCUAAUACAUGCAAGUUGAGCGCUGAAGGUUGGUACUUGUACCGACUGGAUGAGCAGCGAACGGGUGAGUAACGCGUGGGGAAUCUGCCUUUGAGCGGGGGACAACAUUUGGAAACGAAUGCUAAUACCGCAUAAAAACUUUAAACACAAGUUUUAAGUUUGAAAGAUGCAAUUGCAUCACUCAAAGAUGAUCCCGCGUUGUAUUAGCUAGUUGGUGAGGUAAAGGCUCACCAAGGCGAUGAUACAUAGCCGACCUGAGAGGGUGAUCGGCGAAAUUGGGACGGAGACACGGCCCAAACUCCUACGGGAGGCAGCAGUAGGGAAUCUUCGGCAAUGGACGAAAGUCUGACCGAGCAACGCCGCGUGAGUGAAGAAGGUUUUCGGAUCGUAAAACUCUGUUGGCAGAGAAGAACGUUGGUGAGAGUGGAAAGCUCAUCAAGUGACGGUAACUACCCAGAAAGGGACGGCUAACUACGUG
This 497-nucleotide ribosomal RNA is filed under the name uncultured bacterium. Its description in RNAcentral is "partial 16S ribosomal RNA". It matches the Rfam family "Bacterial small subunit ribosomal RNA", at positions 28 to 507 of the family's 1533-position model. The record is from RNAcentral.